RNAcentral lists this ribosomal RNA (591 nucleotides) under uncultured fungus. Its description in RNAcentral is "eukaryotic LSU rRNA". The stretch from base 228 to 382 matches the Rfam family "5.8S ribosomal RNA". The record is from RNAcentral. Lineage: Eukaryota; Fungi.
UCUUGGUCAAUUUAGAGGAAGUAAAAGUCGUAACAAGGUUUCCGUAGGUGAACCUGCGGAAGGAUCAUUACAGAGAUCAUGCCCUUCGGGGUAGACCUCCCACCCUUUGUUAUACCAACGAAUGUUGCUUUGGCGAGCCGCCCUAGGCCGUCGGCCUCGGCUGACGCGUGCUCGCCAGAGACCCCAAACUCUGUAUCAGUGUCGUCUGAGUACUAUAUAAUAGUUAAAACUUUCAACAACGGAUCUCUUGGUUCUGGCAUCGAUGAAGAACGCAGCGAAAUGCGAUAAGUAAUGUGAAUUGCAGAAUUCAGUGAAUCAUCGAAUCUUUGAACGCACAUUGCGCCCCUUGGUAUUCCGGGGGGGCAUGCCUGUUCGAGCGUCAUUUCAACCCUCAAGCUCUGCUUGGUCUUGGGCCCUGCCGGCAACGGCUGGCCUCAAAAGUAGUGGCGGCGCCAUCGUGCUCUCAGCGUAGUAAUUCUUCUCGCUGUUGGGUCCCGGUGGACGCUGGCCAGCAACCCCCCAUUUUCUAAUGUUGACCUCGGAUCAGGUAGGGAUACCCGCUGAACUUAAGCAUAUCAAUAAGCGGAGGAA